This 236-nucleotide ribosomal RNA is filed under the name uncultured Staphylococcus sp. RNAcentral describes it as "partial 16S ribosomal RNA". It matches the Rfam family "Bacterial small subunit ribosomal RNA", at positions 103 to 334 of the family's 1533-position model. The record is from RNAcentral. Lineage: Bacteria; Bacillati; Bacillota; Bacilli; Caryophanales; Staphylococcaceae.
CGGGUGAGUAACACGUGGAUAACCUACCUAUAAGACUGGGAUAACUUCGGGAAACCGGAGCUAAUACCGGAUAAUAUAUUGAACCGCAUGGUUCAAUAGUGAAAGACGGUUUUGCUGUCACUUAUAGAUGGAUCCGCGCCGCAUUAGCUAGUUGGUAAGGUAACGGCUUACCAAGGCAACGAUGCGUAGCCGACCUGAGAGGGUGAUCGGCCACACUGAACUGAGACACGGUCCAG